UUCUGGGCCUCUCUGUCUGGGAUGUCUCACAGGCAUCUCAGACGCCAAGUAGAAGUUUGGGAGCCACUUUAGCAGCUGUAUUCAGCCACUCCCAUUCCUUCUUUACUCCAAAAUAUACCUCAGGUCAGUCAAUUCCUGUAGGGAAAAUUCUGCCUUUUGUAACCAAAGUCUAGCUGUCACUGGACGGAGAAGCCAUGUCUCUGAUUCCAGAGACAAAGCCGCACUCUUUGACAAGAUUUGUUUCACUGGAGACUCAAUGAUAUCAAAAAAGAAGUAAACGCGGGUCAUGCUGUGACACAAGAUACCGGGUGGGCUUUUCUCUUUGAGGCCUGCGGACCCCGCCUCGUCCCGGCCUCUGCUUCUGUAUCCCCCUCAUAGGCAUUAUCUCAGCACUUGCCAAGCAGAGUAUGUGCCCAGUCUCCUUGCUUCCUCAAGUCUCCACUCAGACAGCUGGAGCUAAAGACUGGCUGACCAGAAGGAGCAUUUUAUGAACUUCGACCUUCCACCUAUUCUUCUGCAGGAAGAUAAAUAAAGAGGACUUCUAAGGAGGAGCAGCAGAGACCCGGGGUGCUGUCUGUGGGGAGAACUUUGUGAGUUGCCAGCAAGCCUCGUUGUGAUGGAUACAUCUUGGGGGAGACUGCUGGUGGGAAGGUUGACAUCGGCUGGGCAGCAGUCACCCCUGGGUACCGGAGGCUUAUGCAGCUCUUGGGGGAAAGUCUGCUGUGCUUUGCUUGAAUUCCAAAGCCGUGUGAGCUGCCAGUUCCAACGAUGACCUCAUUACAACUGACUGAUUGAGCGAGGCAGACAUCCUCCAAGGAGAUCAAGUUCAGAGUGACUUUCUAAUCAAACUGCACAGCGGCACGCUGCAGCUGCGGGCAGGAAGUGUGAUUUGGGUUUUGCAGAUGGGGCAAUGGCAUUUAGAGAGGGCAAGUGAAUGGACAACAGUUGUGGAGUCAUGAACUAGCUUCAUAGAUUCAGAGACUUCUAGGGCUAGAGGAGAAGUCAGAGAUCAACCAGACAAACUGAGUUAGAAGGAGUGGAAAGGUGACUCAGGAUUCAUGGGCUACUAAUGCUCAUGAGUUCCCUAGGCAGCCAAGCUGCUCCUUUGCCCACCCCAUCAAGGUGGCUCCGUGCCCCUGCGUCACGUGGCUCAGCGGGACCGCCUCCCUAAAAGGAAGCCAGCUAUUCAGUGUAUCUUUGGUCUAUUGACAAUAUUUUCAGAGAGGUCAGCAGGAAGGCUCCAAGUCACGGAGUGUUAGGUGACCCGGCAGGUGGUCUCAGCUCAGCAGCUGGAGGAGGUCCAAGAUUAGGUUCCUGCAAACGGUCGGUCACUUUCCCAGGGUCAGCCAAAGACCCUGGAGUGGGAAAGAUUCCGAAUGGCUGGGAAUUGACCCCUGGCACAUAUCUCCCUUCCUCAGGGGACAAAUAUGCUUCUCUGAUGUCCACUAUCUCAUCUGCUUCCUGCAACAACCCUGUCAGAUGGAUAGGACGCAGGGUUUUAUCCCUAUUUUACAGGUGAAGAAGGUAAGUCCCACAGAAGGGACAUGACUUGUUGCAGUCACAUUAGUAAGUACCAGAGCAGGUGCUUGAACUCGGGCCUCAGGUCUCAUGGUCCAAGGCUCUGUCCAAGGCUCUGUCAGCGCUGCCUGUCUGACUGUAGUACACACAGAAGUGCCGGCAGUCAUGGUCAUCCCAAAAGGCACGGCUUAUAUUUUAGCGGUGUGCUUAACACACCUCUCUUAGCCUCCUUGGCCAAUCUGGAAUGAUUCCUUCCUAAACACAAGGCACACUGACCCACUGAGGGUUGCUCUAGGACUGACGCCCAAUGGCAGUGAUAGAACUUUUUUGUCUGGCUGUUCAUCACUUGUGAUUAAAAACCAGAGUUGCUACUGA
Molecule: long non-coding RNA, 1893 nt
Organism: Felis catus (domestic cat)
Lineage: Eukaryota; Metazoa; Chordata; Mammalia; Carnivora; Felidae
Exons: 3
Source: RefSeq, a predicted model, not a curated record